UACGAAGGGUGCAAGCGUUACUCGGAAUUACUGGGCGUAAAGCGUGCGUAGGUGGUUGUUUAAGUCCGUUGUGAAAGCCCUGGGCUCAACCUGGGAAUUGCAGUGGAUACUGGGCAACUAGAGUGUGGUAGAGGAUGGCGGAAUUCCCGGUGUAGCAGUGAAAUGCGUAGAGAUCGGGAGGAACAUCUGUGGCGAAGGCGGCCAUCUGGACCAACACUGACACUGAGGCACGAAAGCGUGGGGAGCAAACAGG
RNAcentral lists this ribosomal RNA (253 nucleotides) under uncultured bacterium. RNAcentral describes it as "partial 16S ribosomal RNA". It matches the Rfam family "Bacterial small subunit ribosomal RNA", at positions 524 to 776 of the family's 1533-position model. The record is from RNAcentral.